UUAUUUUUGCAAAUACGUUCACUUUAUUUGUAUUUUUUACCACAAAAUAAUGAAAUAUGCAGCAUCCCUUAAUUUUUACAUUAAAAAUAGUUAUUACAAUCAAUGAUAUGAGCAUUAUAUGGAUACAAGUAUGAAGUUGCAGUGCAAAGGCUUACAAAAUCUUGAGCAAAAUCAAAUAUAUUACUUUAAAAUUCUUUACCCUAAAUUACAGAGGUGCAAAUGAUCCCUUUGGGCCUCAACCAAUAUCCACAUAAAAUUAGUUCAAACAUAUUUCAUUUAGAUCUAAUAAAACUAUUCAAAAUAAAAAAUCCACCUUGUAUAAACUCACCUUUCCAUGUUAAGACUCCUCCUUACCUGUCCACAAAUAAAAUAUAGGUGAUCAACUAAAUCCUCCGGUCUUUUUACUGACCCUUAUUCCAAUCACAGAGGAGGCUUUACCUCUUCUCUGUGUCUGGUCAGGUCUGGUCAGGUUUGGUCUGGUCAUUAUGCUGGUCAGGUCAGGUCUGGUCAGGUAUGGUCAUUAUGCUGGUCAGGUCAGGUCAGGUCAGGUCAGGUCUGGUCAGGUCUGGUCAGGUCAGGUCUGGUCAGGUCAGGUCAGGUCUGGUCAGGUCUGGUCAGGUCAGGUCUGGUCAGGUCAGGUCAGGUCAGGUCAGGUCUGGUCAGGUCAGGUCAGGUCAGGUCUGGUCAGGACAUUAUGUUGGUCAGGUCUGGUCAGGACAUUAUGCUGGUCAGGUCUGGUCAGGACAUCAUGCUGGUCUGGUCUGGACAUUAUGCUGGUCAGGUCUGGUCAGGUCUGGUCAGGACAUUAUGCUGGUCGGGUCAGGACAUUAUGCUGGCCAGGUCUGGUCAGGACAUUAUGCUGGUCGGGUCAGGACAUUAUGCUGGCCAGGUCUGGUCAGGACAUUAUGCUGGUCAGGUCUGGUCUGGUCAGGUCAGGUCUGGUCAGGACAUUAUGCUGGUCAGGUCUGGUCAGGUCAGGUCAGGUCUGGUCAGGACAUUAUGCUGGUCAGGUCAGGUCUGGUCUGGUCAGGUCUGGUCAGGUCAGGUCUGGUCAGGUUUGGUCAGGACAUUAUGUUGGUCAGGUCUGGUCAGGACAUUAUGCUGGUCAGGUCUGGUCUGGUCAGGUCAGGUCUGGUCAGGUCUGGCCAAGUCUGGUCUGGUCAGGACAUUAUGCUGGUCAGGUCUGGUCAGGACAUUAUGCUGGUCUCGUCUGGACAUUAUGCUGGUCAGGUCUGGUCUGGUCAGGUCAGGUCUGGUCACAACAUUAUGCUGGUCAGGUCAGGUCAGGUCUGGUCAGGUCUGGUCAGGACAUUAUGCUGGUCAGGUCUGGUCUGGUCAGGUCAGGUCAGGUCAGGUCAGGUCAGGUCAGGUCAGGUCAGGACAUUAUGCUGGUCUGGUCAGGGCAGGUCUGGUUAGGUCUGGACAGGUCAGGUCAGGUCAGGACAUUAUGCAGGUCUGGUCAGUUCUGGUCAGGUCUGGUCAGGUCUGGUCAGGACAUUGAUGCUUGAUCCUUUCACUGCAUUGCCAUUGUAGCCUCAGCAUC
This is a long non-coding RNA of Oncorhynchus tshawytscha (Chinook salmon), 1543 nucleotides long. Lineage: Eukaryota; Metazoa; Chordata; Actinopteri; Salmoniformes; Salmonidae. The record is from Ensembl.